RNAcentral lists this ribosomal RNA (253 nucleotides) under uncultured bacterium. Its description in RNAcentral is "partial 16S ribosomal RNA". It matches the Rfam family "Bacterial small subunit ribosomal RNA", at positions 524 to 776 of the family's 1533-position model. The record is from RNAcentral.
GACAGAGGGGGCAAGCGUUGCUCGGAAUUACUGGGCGUAAAGGGCGCGUAGGCGGGAUGGCAAGUCGGUCGUGAAAUCCCUCGGCUCAACCGAGGAACGUCGAUCGAUACUGCUGUUCUUGAGGAUUGCAGAGGAGACUGGAAUUCCCGGUGUAGCGGUGAAAUGCGUAGAUAUCGAUCGGAACACCCAUGGCGAAGGCAGCUCGCUGGCCUGCAACUGACGCUGAGGCGCGAAAGCGUGGGGAGCAAACAGG